Molecule: ribosomal RNA, 2923 nt
Rfam family: Bacterial large subunit ribosomal RNA
Source: Rfam
GGUUAAGUGAAGUAAAGCGCACGGUGGAUGCCUUGGCACUAGGCGCCGAUGAAGGACGGGACUAACACCGAUAUGCUCCGGGGAGCUGUACGUAAGCAAUGAACCGAAGAUUUCCGAAUGGGGCAACCCAGCCAGCUUAAUCGCUGGCUGCUGGCAGGCGAAUUCAUAACCUGCGCAGCGGUAAACGCGGGGAACUGAAACAUCUCAGUACCCGCAGGAAGAGAAAACAAUUGUGAUUCCCUUAGUAGCGGCGAGCGAAGCGGGAACAGCCCAAACCAACGAGCUUGCUCGUUGGGGUUGUAGGACUGAACAUUAGAGUGACCAAAAGCAGCUUUAGCUGAACCAGGUGGGAAACUGGACCACAGCGGGUAAGAGUCCCGUAGGCGAAAAAGCGGCUUCUCUGUUCAGGAUCCUGAGUACGGCGGCACACGUGUAAUGCCGUCGGAAUCCGGGAGGACCAUCUCCCAAGGCUAAAUACGACCUAGUGACCGAUAGUGAACCAGUACCGUGAGGGAAAGGUGAAAAGCACCCCGGAAGGGGAGUGAAACAGUUCCUGAAACCGUGUGCUCACAAUUAGUCAAAGCUCAUUAAUGAGUAAUGGCGUGCCUUUUGUAGAAUGAACCGGCGAGUUACGUUAAGCGGCAAGGUUAAGGCGGAAAGCUGGAGCCAUAGCGAAAGCGAGUCUGAAACGGGCGCAUUAGUCGUUUGAGGUAGACCCGAAACCAAGUGACCUACCCAUGUCCAGAUUGAAGGUGUGGUGAAACGCACUGGAGGAUCGCACCCAUGUAUGUUGAAAAAUGCUGGGAUGAGGUGUGGGUAGCGGUGAAAUUCCAAACGAACUUGGAGAUAGCUGGUUCUCUUCGAAAUAGCUUUAGGGCUAGCCUCGAAGGAAGCAUCAUGGAGGUAGAGCACUGUUUGGACUAGGGGCCCGUCAGGGGUUACUGAAUUCAGAUAAACUCCGAAUGCCAUGGAUGCAUUGCCUUCGGGAGUCAGACAGUGAGUGAUAAGAUCCAUUGUCGAAAGGGAAACAGCCCAGACCACCAGUUAAGGUCCCAAAAUUUAUGUUAAGUGGAAAAGGAAGUGGGGUUGCUUAGACAACUAGGAUGUUGGCUCAGAAGCAGCCAUCAUUUAAAGAGUGCGUAAUAGCUCACUAGUCGAGUGACCCUGCGCCGAAGAUGUACCGGGGCUAAACAUAAUACCGAAACUGUGGAUGACCACUUCGUGGUCAUGGUAGAAGAGCGUUCUAAGGACGGUGAAGGCUGAUCGUGAGGACAGCUGGAGUGCUUAGAAGUGAGAAUGCCGGUAUGAGUAGCGCAAGACAGGUGAGAAUCCUGUCCACCGUAAGACUAAGGUUUCCUGGGGAAGGCUCGUCCACCCAGGGUUAGUCGGGACCUAAGCCGAGGCCGAAAGGCGUAGGCGAUGGAUAACAGGUUGAAAUUCCUGUACUAGUCAUUUGCGUUCGACCGAUGGAGGGACGCAGGAGGCAAGAGGAACCGCACGAUUGGAAAGGUGCGGCCAAGCAAUGCGCCGGGACUGGAGUGAAAGGCUUCAGGCCAACGGCCAGUUGUGAUGGGGAGCGAAUUUAAGUAGCGAAGUCCUUGCGGUCACACUGCCAAGAAAAGCUUCUAGGGAGCAAAUGAUUACCCGUACCGCAAACCGACACAGGUAGUCGAGGAGAGUAUCCUCAGGUGAGCGAGUGAACUCUCGUUAAGGAACUCGGCAAAAUAACCCCGUAACUUCGGGAAAAGGGGUGCUGGUCUAACGACCAGCCGCAGUGAAUAGGCCCAGGCGACUGUUUAUCAAAAACACAGGUCUCUGCUAAAUCGUAAGAUGACGUAUAGGGGCUGACGCCUGCCCGGUGCUGGAAGGUUAAGUGGACGUGUUAGCCCGUAAGGGCAACGCACCGAAAUGAAGCCCCAGUAAACGGCGGCCGUAACUAUAACGGUCCUAAGGUAGCGAAAUUCCUUGUCGGGUAAGUUCCGACCCGCACGAAAGGCGUAACGAUCUGGGCACUGUCUCGACGAGAGACUCGGUGAAAUUAAAAUACCCGUAAAGAUGCGGGUUACCCGCGACAGGACGGAAAGACCCCAUGGAGCUUUACUGUAGCUUGAUAUUGAGUGUUUGUACCGCUUGUACAGGAUAGGUAGGAGCCGUGGAAGCCGGAACGCUAGUUUCGGUGGAGGCAUUGGUGGGAUACUACCCUGGCAGUACGCACACGCUAACCCGCGCCACUAAACGUGGCCGGGGACAGUGUCAGGUUGGCAGUUUGACUGGGGCGGUCGCCUCCUAAAGUGUAACGGAGGCGCCCAAAGGUUCCCUCAGAAUGGUUGGAAAUCAUUCAUGGCGUGUAAAGGCACAAGGGAGCUUGACUGUGAGACUGACAAGUCGAGCAGGGACGAAAGUCGGGCUUAGUGAUCCGGUGGUACCGUAUGGAAGGGCCAUCGCUCAACGGAUAAAAGCUACCCUGGGGAUAACAGGCUUAUCUCCCCCAAGAGUCCACAUCGACGGGGAGGUUUGGCACCUCGAUGUCGGCUCAUCACAUCCUGGGGCUGUAGUUGGUCCCAAGGGUUGGGCUGUUCGCCCAUUAAAGUGGUACGCGAGCUGGGUUCAGAACGUCGUGAGACAGUUCGGUCCCUAUCCGUCGCGGGCGUUGGAAAUUUGCGUGGCGCUGUUCCUAGUACGAGAGGACCGGAAUGGACAUACCGCUGGUGUACCAGUUGUGCCGCCAGGCGCAGCGCUGGGUAGCUAAGUAUGGCCGGGAUAAACGCUGAAAGCAUCUAAGCGUGAAGCCCCCCACUAGAUAAGAUUUCCCAUUUCUUUAAGAAAGUAAGACCCCUACGAGAUGAGUAGGUAGAUAGCUUGGAGGUGGCAGUGCCGUGAGGCAUGGAGCUGACCAAGACUAAUCGGUCGAGGACUUAACCAA